Molecule: ribosomal RNA, 253 nt
Filed under: uncultured bacterium
Lineage: Bacteria
Description: partial 16S ribosomal RNA
Rfam family: Bacterial small subunit ribosomal RNA
Source: RNAcentral
UACGUAGGGGGCAAGCGUUGUUCGGAAUUACUGGGCGUAAAGGGCUCGUAGGUGGCCAACUAAGUCGGACGUGAAAUCCCUCGGCUUAACCGGGGAACUGCGUCCGAUACUGGAUGGCUUGAGUUUGGGAGAGGGAUGCGGAAUUCCAGGUGUAGCGGUGAAAUGCGUAGAUAUCUGGAGGAACACCGGUGGCGAAGGCGGCAUCCUGGACCAACACUGACACUGAGGAGCGAAAGCCAGGGGAGCAAACGGG